This 2641-nucleotide ribosomal RNA is filed under the name Staphylococcus aureus. RNAcentral's name for it is "partial 23S ribosomal RNA". It matches the Rfam family "Bacterial large subunit ribosomal RNA". Lineage: Bacteria; Bacillati; Bacillota; Bacilli; Caryophanales; Staphylococcaceae. The record is from RNAcentral.
GCUUGCUUGUUGGGGUUGUAGGACACUCUAUACGGAGUUACAAAGGACGACAUUAGACGAAUCAUCUGGAAAGAUGAAUCAAAGAAGGUAAUAAUCCUGUAGUCGAAAAUGUUGUCUCUCUUGAGUGGAUCCUGAGUACGACGGAGCACGUGAAAUUCCGUCGGAAUCUGGGAGGACCAUCUCCUAAGGCUAAAUACUCUCUAGUGACCGAUAGUGAACCAGUACCGUGAGGGAAAGGUGAAAAGCACCCCGGAAGGGGAGUGAAAUAGAACCUGAAACCGUGUGCUUACAAGUAGUCAGAGCCCGUUAAUGGGUGAUGGCGUGCCUUUUGUAGAAUGAACCGGCGAGUUACGAUUUGAUGCAAGGUUAAGCAGUAAAUGUGGAGCCGUAGCGAAAGCGAGUCUGAAUAGGGCGUUUAGUAUUUGGUCGUAGACCCGAAACCAGGUGAUCUACCCUUGGUCAGGUUGAAGUUCAGGUAACACUGAAUGGAGGACCGAACCGACUUACGUUGAAAAGUGAGCGGAUGAACUGAGGGUAGCGGAGAAAUUCCAAUCGAACCUGGAGAUAGCUGGUUCUCUCCGAAAUAGCUUUAGGGCUAGCCUCAAGUGAUGAUUAUUGGAGGUAGAGCACUGUUUGGACGAGGGGCCCCUCUCGGGUUACCGAAUUCAGACAAACUCCGAAUGCCAAUUAAUUUAACUUGGGAGUCAGAACAUGGGUGAUAAGGUCCGUGUUCGAAAGGGAAACAGCCCAGACCACCAGCUAAGGUCCCAAAAUAUAUGUUAAGUGGAAAAGGAUGUGGCGUUGCCCAGACAACUAGGAUGUUGGCUUAGAAGCAGCCAUCAUUUAAAGAGUGCGUAAUAGCUCACUAGUCGAGUGACACUGCGCCGAAAAUGUACCGGGGCUAAACAUAUUACCGAAGCUGUGGAUUGUCCUUUGGACAAUGGUAGGAGAGCGUUCUAAGGGCGUUGAAGCAUGAUCGUAAGGACAUGUGGAGCGCUUAGAAGUGAGAAUGCCGGUGUGAGUAGCGAAAGACGGGUGAGAAUCCCGUCCACCGAUUGACUAAGGUUUCCAGAGGAAGGCUCGUCCGCUCUGGGUUAGUCGGGUCCUAAGCUGAGGCCGACAGGCGUAGGCGAUGGAUAACAGGUUGAUAUUCCUGUACCACCUAUAAUCGUUUUAAUCGAUGGGGGGACGCAGUAGGAUAGGCGAAGCGUGCGAUUGGAUUGCACGUCUAAGCAGUAAGGCUGAGUAUUAGGCAAACCCGGUACUCGUUAAGGCUGAGCUGUGAUGGGGAGAAGACAUUGUGUCUUCGAGUCGUUGAUUUCACACUGCCGAGAAAAGCCUCUAGAUAGAAAAUAGGUGCCCGUACCGCAAACCGACACAGGUAGUCAAGAUGAGAAUUCUAAGGUGAGCGAGCGAACUCUCGUUAAGGAACUCGGCAAAAUGACCCCGUAACUUCGGGAGAAGGGGUGCUCUUUAGGGUUAACGCCCAGAAGAGCCGCAGUGAAUAGGCCCAAGCGACUGUUUAUCAAAAACACAGGUCUCUGCUAAACCGUAAGGUGAUGUAUAGGGGCUGACGCCUGCCCGGUGCUGGAAGGUUAAGAGGAGUGGUUAGCUUCUGCGAAGCUACGAAUCGAAGCCCCAGUAAACGGCGGCCGUAACUAUAACGGUCCUAAGGUAGCGAAAUUCCUUGUCGGGUAAGUUCCGACCCGCACGAAAGGCGUAACGAUUUGGGCACUGUCUCAACGAGAGACUCGGUGAAAUCAUAGUACCUGUGAAGAUGCAGGUUACCCGCGACAGGACGGAAAGACCCCGUGGAGCUUUACUGUAGCCUGAUAUUGAAAUUCGGCACAGCUUGUACAGGAUAGGUAGGAGCCUUUGAAACGUGAGCGCUAGCUUACGUGGAGGCGCUGGUGGGAUACUACCCUAGCUGUGUUGGCUUUCUAACCCGCACCACUUAUCGUGGUGGGAGACAGUGUCAGGCGGGCAGUUUGACUGGGGCGGUCGCCUCCUAAAAGGUAACGGAGGCGCUCAAAGGUUCCCUCAGAAUGGUUGGAAAUCAUUCAUAGAGUGUAAAGGCAUAAGGGAGCUUGACUGCGAGACCUACAAGUCGAGCAGGGUCGAAAGACGGACUUAGUGAUCCGGUGGUUCCGCAUGGAAGGGCCAUCGCUCAACGGAUAAAAGCUACCCCGGGGAUAACAGGCUUAUCUCCCCCAAGAGUUCACAUCGACGGGGAGGUUUGGCACCUCGAUGUCGGCUCAUCGCAUCCUGGGGCUGUAGUCGGUCCCAAGGGUUGGGCUGUUCGCCCAUUAAAGCGGUACGCGAGCUGGGUUCAGAACGUCGUGAGACAGUUCGGUCCCUAUCCGUCGUGGGCGUAGGAAAUUUGAGAGGAGCUGUCCUUAGUACGAGAGGACCGGGAUGGACAUACCUCUGGUGUACCAGUUGUCGUGCCAACGGCAUAGCUGGGUAGCUAUGUGUGGACGGGAUAAGUGCUGAAAGCAUCUAAGCAUGAAGCCCCCCUCAAGAUGAGAUUUCCCAACUUCGGUUAUAAGAUCCCUCAAAGAUGAUGAGGUUAAUAGGUUCGAGGUGGAAGCAUGGUGACAUGUGGAGCUGACGAAUACUAAUCGAUCGAAGACUUAAUCAA